UGGGGAAUAUUGCACAAUGGGCGAAAGCCUGAUGCAGCAACGCCGCGUGAGUGAUGAAGGCCUUCGGGUUGUAAAGCUCUGUCUUUUGGGACGAUAAUGACGGUACCAAAGGAGGAAGCCACGGCUAACUACGUGCCAGCAGCCGCGGUAAUACGUAGGUGGCAAGCGUUGUCCGGAUUUACUGGGCGUAAAGGAUGCGUAGGCGGAUUUUUAAGUGAGAUGUGAAAUACCCGGGCUUAACUUGGGUGCUGCAUUUCAAACUGGGAAUCUAGAGUGCGGGAGAGGAGAAUGGAAUUCCUAGUGUAGCGGUGAAAUGCGUAGAGAUUAGGAAGAACACCAGUGGCGAAGGCGAUUCUCUGGACCGUAACUGACGCUGAGGCAUGAAAGCGUGGGUAGCAAACAGGAUUAGAUACCCUGGUAGUCCACGCCGUAAACGAUGAGUACUAGGUGUAGGAGGUAUCGACCCCUUCUGUGCCGCAGUUAACACAAUAAGUACUCCGCCUGGGAAGUACGAUCGCAAGAUUAAAAGCUUAAAUGAAUUGACGGGGUCAUAGCUGUUUCCU
Molecule: ribosomal RNA, 563 nt
Filed under: uncultured bacterium
Lineage: Bacteria
Description: partial 16S ribosomal RNA
Rfam family: Bacterial small subunit ribosomal RNA
Source: RNAcentral